CCUACGGGAGGCAGCAGUGGGGAAUAUUGGACAAUGGGGGAAACCCUGAUCCAGCGACGCCGCGUGGGUGAUGAAGGCCUUCGGGUUGUAAAGCCCUUUCGUCCACGAUGAUGAUGACAGUAGUGGAAGAAGAAGCUCCGGCUAACUCCGUGCCAGCAGCCGCGGUAAUACGGAGGGGGCUAGCGUUGCUCGGAAUUACUGGGCGUAAAGCGCACGUAGGCGGCGAUGCGAGUCAGGUGUGAAAGGCCUGGGCUUAACCCGGGAACUGCAUUUGAUACUGCAUUGCUAGAGUCCAAGAGAGGGUAGUGGAAUUCCCAGUGUAGAGGUGAAAUUCGUAGAUAUUGGGAAGAACACCAGUGGCGAAGGCGGCUACCUGGCUUGGUACUGACGCUCAGGUGCGAAAGCGUGGGGAGCGAACAGGAUUAGAUACCCUUGUAGUC
This 440-nucleotide ribosomal RNA is filed under the name uncultured bacterium. RNAcentral describes it as "bacterial SSU rRNA". It matches the Rfam family "Bacterial small subunit ribosomal RNA", at positions 338 to 795 of the family's 1533-position model. The record is from RNAcentral.